Molecule: ribosomal RNA, 498 nt
Filed under: uncultured bacterium
Lineage: Bacteria
Description: partial 16S ribosomal RNA
Rfam family: Bacterial small subunit ribosomal RNA
Source: RNAcentral
AUUGAACGCUGGCGGCAUGCCUUACACAUGCAAGUCGAACGGCAGCACGGGGCAACCUGGUGGCGAGUGGCGAACGGGUGAGUAAUGCAUCGGAACGUACCUUUCAGUGGGGGAUAACGUAGCGAAAGUUACGCUAAUACCGCAUAUUCUGUGAGCAGGAAAGCAGGGGAUCGCAAGACCUUGCGCUGAUUGAGCGGCCGAGGUCAGAUGCGCUAGUUGGUGAGGUAAAGGCUCUCCAAGGCGACGAUCUGUCGCGGGUCUGAGAGGAUGAUCCGCCACACUGGAACUGAGACACGGUCCAGACUCCUACGGGAGGCAGCAGUGGGGAAUGUUGGACGAUGGGGGCGACCCUGAUCCAGCCAUGCCGCGUGAGUGAAGAAGGCCUUCGGGUUGGAAAGCUCUUGCGGCCGGGAAGAAAUCGCACGGGCUAAUACCCUGUGUGGAUGACGGUACCGGAAUAAGAAGCACCGGCUAACUACGUGCCAGCCGCCGCAGUAA